RNAcentral lists this ribosomal RNA (434 nucleotides) under uncultured bacterium. Its description in RNAcentral is "partial 16S ribosomal RNA". It matches the Rfam family "Bacterial small subunit ribosomal RNA", at positions 29 to 507 of the family's 1533-position model. The record is from RNAcentral.
AGCGAACGCUGGCGGCAGGCCUAACACAUGCAAGUCGAACGAACCUUUCGGGGUUAGUGGCGGACGGGUGAGUAACACGUGGGAACGUGCCUUUAGGUUCGGAAUAACUCAGGGAAACUUGUGCUAAUACCGAAUGUGCCCUUCGGGGGAAAGAUUUAUCGCCUUUAGAGCGGCCCGCGUCUGAUUAGCUAGUUGUUUGAGGUAAUGGCUCACCAAGGCGACGAUCAGUAGCUGGUCUGAGAGGAUGAUCAGCCACAUUGGGACUGAGACACGGCCCAAACUCCUACGGGAGGCAGCAGUGGGGAAUCUUGCGAAAUGGGCGAAAGCAUGACGAAGCCAUGCCGCGUGAAUGAUGAAGGUCUUAGGAUUGUAAAAUUCUUUCACCGGGGACGAUAAUGACGGUACCCGGAGAAGAAGCCCCGGCUAACUUCGUG